This 690-nucleotide long non-coding RNA is filed under the name Pan troglodytes (chimpanzee). RNAcentral's name for it is "long non-coding RNA NONPTRT016588". Lineage: Eukaryota; Metazoa; Chordata; Mammalia; Primates; Hominidae. The record is from RNAcentral.
AUCUAAAUAUAAUUCCCUGAGAUAUAGUUUCCUUUCACUUCAAAAUAACUGUACAUUAGGUUGAGAGACAAAAAAAUUCAUUGUCUACAAUUACACAUACUUUCUGAUUAAUUUAUUGGUUAGCCCACAUUUAGUUCAUCACGCACAACUUAUUUUUCUGCAUGUGCAUUUGGGACAAUAACCUGGCAUAUGAAACCUUUAAAAUUUACAUUUAAAAAUUUAUAUUUGCGCUUGGAUGACUUUGCCAAUAACUAGAACUCCCUCAAAAACAAAGGCUAGGUCCCUGACUCCUAUAGGCAUGACCAAGAGUACACUACAAAAUGAUUCCUCUGAGACUGAAAUGUUUUUUUCCUGCUUCUCCCUCAGAGAGACAUUGUGGAAAAAUUCUAGAACUUUUAGAAUAGACAUUGUGUGCUUGACUCCAGCGAUCAAAGAUUCUGAAAUAUUGAGGCCCCAUUUGAGAGUCAUACACUUAUACUAGUUUUAUUUGUUGUUGUUGUUUAUAAUCUGAAGAAAUGAACUUCAGCCAUCUAGAGCAAAAAUAGUUGGAUUUGUUGGAGGGAUACGGACUGAGCUAAGUAGUAGAAUCAGUGACAGACUGAUACAAGCCAAGGGACGGCAGAAUAAGGAAAGCUCCAAAAAUCUCUCAAAGAAAAAGUUUGGUCAACCUUGUAGGGGAACCAGCCCGCU